CUGCACGUGUAAGAAUGAAAACAAAAAGCUCGUAUCUCAGUUUUAGUCUAAUCGCUGAAAAAAAUAUUUUAACCUAAUCAUCUUCUUUAUCGUUGAGCUCUUUCUUCUCCUCAGAAAAUACAUUUAAAAUAGCUGAAUGGAUAAGAGCACAUUAGAGAUUUACAACGGAGAGGGUGAUCCAACUGGGGAUGCUACAUAGAAAAUUUUUUAUUGACAGGGUCUUUGGGGGGAAUUGUGAAAAUCUGCUAUAAUACAAGAAUGCAAGGAGCUUGGAAAAUAAUAGUGGAAGCUUAAUGAAUUAUAAUUCAAAGCUAAGAAAUAUAAUGGUUCAGAGACUCAAGAAAAUCAUAUUCAAGGGAGUUUUGUUGUUGAUAAGUCAGUUGGAGAUUUGGACGUCACCUGAUUGUUUGAUCAAUUGAUCCUGAGG
Capsicum annuum is the source of this 427-nucleotide long non-coding RNA. RefSeq lists it as uncharacterized. The transcript is spliced from 4 exons. Lineage: Eukaryota; Viridiplantae; Streptophyta; Magnoliopsida; Solanales; Solanaceae. The record is from RefSeq and is a predicted model, not a curated record.